GAUGAACGCUGGCGGCGUGCCUAAUACAUGCAAGUAGAACGCUGAAGGAGGAGCUUGCUCUUCUGGAUGAGUUGCGAACGGGUGAGUAACGCGUAGGUAACCUGCCUGGUAGCGGGGGAUAACUAUUGGAAACGAUAGCUAAUACCGCAUGACAACAGUUAUUGCAUGAUAACUGUUUAAAAGGGGCAACUGCUCCACUACCAGAUGGACCUGCGUUGUAUUAGCUAGUUGGUGAGGUAACGGAUCACCAAGGCGACGAUACAUAGCCGACCUGAGAGGGUGAUCGGCCACACUGGGACUGAGACACGGCCCAGACUCCUACGGGAGGCAGCAGUAGGGAAUCUUCGGCAAUGGACGGAAGUCUGACCGAGCAACGCCGCGUGAGUGAAGAAGGUUUUCGGAUCGUAAAGCUCUGUUGUAAGAGAAGAACGAGUGUGAGAGUGGAAAGUUCACACUGUGACGGUAUCUUACCAGAAAGGGACGGCUAACUACGUG
RNAcentral lists this ribosomal RNA (495 nucleotides) under uncultured bacterium. RNAcentral's name for it is "partial 16S ribosomal RNA". It matches the Rfam family "Bacterial small subunit ribosomal RNA", at positions 28 to 507 of the family's 1533-position model. The record is from RNAcentral.